This 253-nucleotide ribosomal RNA is filed under the name uncultured bacterium. RNAcentral's name for it is "partial 16S ribosomal RNA". It matches the Rfam family "Bacterial small subunit ribosomal RNA", at positions 524 to 776 of the family's 1533-position model. The record is from RNAcentral.
UACGGGGGGGGCAAGCGUUGUUCGGAAUUACUGGGCGUAAAGGGCGCGUAGGCGGUCAGAUAAGUCAGCUGUGAAAACCUCGGGCUUAACCUGAGGCCUGCAGUUGAAACUGUUUGGCUGGAGUGUGGGAGAGGAGAGUGGAAUUUCGUGUGUAGGGGUGAAAUCCGUAAAUAUACGAAGGAACGCCAAAAGCGAGGGCAGCUCUCUGGGUCCCUACCGACGCUGGGGUGCGAAAGCAUGGGGAGCGAACAGG